AUGGUGCAGCGCACUUCCAACGCCGAGGUCAUGUCGAUGGACCUGUCGCCCAAGAAGCCCGCCAAGGCCUACGGCAGCGACGGCGGCGCCUACUACGACUGGUCGCCGGCCGACCUGCCCAUGCUCGGCGCGGCCUCCAUCGGCGCCGCCAAGCUGCAUCUCUUCGCCGGCGGGCUCGCGCUCCCCAGCUACUCCGACUCGGCCAAGAUCGCCUACGUGCUCCAGGGCGCCGGCGCCUGCGGCCUCGUCCUCCCCGAGGCGGCCAGCGAGAAGGUGAUCCCCGUCAAGGAGGGCGACACCCUGGCGCUCCCCUUCGGCGCCGUCACCUGGUGGCACAACGCCGAGGGCGCCUCCGCGGAGAUGGUCGUGCUCUUCCUCGGUGACACCUCCAAGGGCCACACUCCCGGCCGCUUCACCAACUUCCAGCUCACCGGCGCCGCCGGCAUUUUCACGGGCUUCUCCACCGAGUUCGUCGCGCGCGCCUGGGACCUCGACCAGGACGCCGCCGCCAAGAUCGUCUCCACCCAGCCUGGCUCCGGCGUCGUCAAGAUCGCCGCGGGGCACCGCAUGCCGGAGCCGCGCGUCGAGGACCGCCAGGGCGUCGUGCUCAACUGCCUCGAGGCGCCGCUGGACGUGGACAUCCCGGGCGGCGGCCGCGUGGUGGUGCUCAACACGGCCAACCUGCCGCCGGUGAAGGAUGUUGGGCUGGGCUCUGACCUGGUUAGGAUCGAUGGUAAGUCCAUGUGCUCGCCGGGAUUCUCCUGCGACUCGGCCUACCAGGUCACCUACAUAGUGCGCGGCGGCGGCCGCGUCCAGGUCGUCGGGAUCGAUGGCACCCGUGUGCUGGAGACCCGCGCCGAGGCGGGCUGCCUCUUCAUCGUGCCCAGGUUCUUCGUCGUCUCCAAGAUCGCCGACGACACCGGCAUGGAGUGGUUCUCCAUCAUCACCACGCCAAACCCGAUCUUUAGCCACUUGGCUGGUAGGACGUCGGUGUGGAAGGCGAUAUCGCCGGAUGUGCUAGAGACGGCCUUCAACACCACGCCAGAGAUGGAAAAGAUGUUCCGCUCCAAGAGGCUUGACUCCGAGAUCUUCUUUGCUCCCAACUAG
RNAcentral lists this ribosomal RNA (1107 nucleotides) under Triticum aestivum (bread wheat). RNAcentral describes it as "partial small subunit ribosomal RNA". The record is from RNAcentral. Lineage: Eukaryota; Viridiplantae; Streptophyta; Magnoliopsida; Poales; Poaceae.